This is a long non-coding RNA of Micropterus salmoides (largemouth bass), 567 nucleotides long. RefSeq lists it as uncharacterized. The record is from RefSeq and is a predicted model, not a curated record. The transcript is spliced from 4 exons. Lineage: Eukaryota; Metazoa; Chordata; Actinopteri; Centrarchiformes; Centrarchidae.
CCAGAACAGAAGAGGACGUCAUAACUCCACCUUACAUCUGACUGUUGUGGCAGAGAAAUCAACAAUGAUAAUAAAUAUCAUCAGGUUGACUCUAGUGGUUGUGACGCCGAUUCCUCUGCUUCUGUUCUGUCUGUGGAUGAGGAAGAAGAAAACUCUGAGCUACACCACGGAACCAAAGGAACCGAUAGAGACUAUAGAGUUGGAGUCUGAUUGUCCAAUGCCUAAACCUUGAAUCAAAAAGGAAUGUGAAUUUCUUCAGAAGUACAGCGUUGAAGUACUCCAGUGGAGAACAGGGGGAUAUGGAGGAACUCCAAAUAUUUUACUUUUUACUUUUUAUUAGCAGCACAGGUAGUCAGCAAUAGCAUAGCAGAGGAUUUAAGUAGAAUGUAAGCUGUAGUUUUACCUGUCCAGGUACAUUACAUACGCUCAGGGUUUAACAUAUUAUGAAUAUUAAAUAAAUGGUAUUUUUACUUUUUAUGUAAUAAUUUGCUUUUAUGAAAAACUGAUUGCCCUUUCACAUUACACCUGUCCUGGCAGAGAAAGUCAAUAAAGUCUUUUCAAAACCAA